Molecule: ribosomal RNA, 495 nt
Filed under: uncultured bacterium
Lineage: Bacteria
Description: partial 16S ribosomal RNA
Rfam family: Bacterial small subunit ribosomal RNA
Source: RNAcentral
GACGAACGCUGGCGGCGUGCCUAAUACAUGCAAGUAGAACGCUGAAGGAGGAGCUUGCUUCUCUGGAUGAGUUGCGAACGGGUGAGUAACGCGUAGGUAACCUGCCUGGUAGCGGGGGAUAACUCUUGGAAACGAUAGCUAAUACCGCAUAAUAGUAGAUGUUGCAUGACAUUUGCUUAAAAGGUGCAAUUGCAUCACUACCAGAUGGACCUGCGUUGUAUUAGCUAGUUGGUGGGGUAACGGCUCACCAAGGCGACGAUACAUAGCCGACCUGAGAGGGGGGUCGGCCCCACUGGGACUGGGACACGGCCCCGACUCCUACGGGAGGCAGCAGUAGGGAAUCUUCGGCAAUGGACGGAAGUCUGACCGGGCAACGCCGCGUGAGUGAAGAAGGUUUUCGGAUCGUAAAGCUCUGUUGUAAGAGAGGAACGAGUGUGAGAGUGGAAAGUUCACACUGUGACGGUAUCUUACCAGAAAGGGACGGCUAACUACGUG